Molecule: long non-coding RNA, 462 nt
Filed under: Cairina moschata (Muscovy duck)
Lineage: Eukaryota; Metazoa; Chordata; Aves; Anseriformes; Anatidae
Description: domestica (muscovy Duck (domestic type)) lncRNA (ENSCMMG00000011878.1)
Source: RNAcentral
GGAUAUGUACAUAAGGUUUUGGUUACCUGGUGGAGAUAUGAAGCACAGCCUCAGAAGUUCAUCAGCAAUGCAUGAUAUUUGAGCGAGAUGCCAUACAGGACAGAUUCAGAAUCUCAGGCAAGUCUGAAACUACAGAAACGGAACAGAGAACAAGCUGAAAGAAACAAAAACUCCACACAAGGGAAAAACAAAGCAAGGAAAUCUGAAGUUCCAUCUUUGCUACAGGUUGUUAUGACACACUGUGGCCAUCAAGCAUACCAGUCAUCACACAGCACAGUAAAUUGCAGUGUUCAAACAUACAGCUACACUGUCCUGAGCUUUGAAACAGCAUCCAACACUCUGAAGGAGACCUCCAGUCCCACAGUAGAAUAGCAAGCACCUGUGUAAGUCUAGACUUUCCUAGGGUGUUUAAAAAGUAAAGUGAAGCUAUGGUAGGAUGUACUGAAGGCUUGCUCUGGUCCU